This 421-nucleotide ribosomal RNA is filed under the name Shouchella clausii. Its description in RNAcentral is "bacterial SSU rRNA". It matches the Rfam family "Bacterial small subunit ribosomal RNA", at positions 87 to 492 of the family's 1533-position model. The record is from RNAcentral. Lineage: Bacteria; Bacillati; Bacillota; Bacilli; Caryophanales; Bacillaceae.
GGACGUUAGCGGCGGACGGGUGAGUAACACGUGGGCAACCUGCCCCUUAGACUGGGAUAACUCCGGGAAACCGGAGCUAAUACCGGAUAAUCCCUUUCUCCACCUGGAGAGAGGGUGAAAGAUGGCUUCGGCUAUCACUAAGGGAUGGGCCCGCGGCGCAUUAGCUAGUUGGUAAGGUAACGGCUUACCAAGGCAACGAUGCGUAGCCGACCUGAGAGGGUGAUCGGCCACACUGGGACUGAGACACGGCCCAGACUCCUACGGGAGGCAGCAGUAGGGAAUCUUCCGCAAUGGACGAAAGUCUGACGGAGCAACGCCGCGUGAGUGAGGAAGGCCUUCGGCGAUCGUAAAGCUCUGUUGUGAGGGAAGAAGCGGUACCGUUCGAAUAGGGCGGUACCUGACGGUACCUCACCAGAAAGCC